GACCUACUGGUUUCGAGACGGUCGCGGUUGCUGACUUUGAGAACGGGCCUGUCCCAGCAGUUCUGAGAGGAGCCAGGAGCUGAGGCUGUGGGAGCUCAAAAACCUCACCUGAGUUCUGAGAACUGUGCGACCUGGUGGGGGGACAGUCCCUGAGUGCUCCGUGUCCCUGGGAAGACAGGGAUAAAGUAUGGCGCUGAGCAGAUAGAUGCAGACUCCUGUUUAUCAGAUAAGUGAAUGAAGAGGACUUGGGUGCAUUUUCUGACUGCACUGGGUGGGAGAAGAGGAAAAUGUGAAUUACUUUCUUGUGAUCUGAUAGAGAAAGAGCCUCCGAGCUGUGGAGGGGUGCAGAGAUGCUGGCUACAGUGUGGCUUCUAAGACAACCUAUUCUCAAGUGAGAGCGCCGGUCAGACUUACAGCUAUAAGAUCCUAUCUCAAACUUGAAAAACACAGUGGGCAGAAGCUUGAGAAACAGAGAAAAGGAUUCUCUUCUGAAGACUGUUCCUGAGUGGGUGUCUUCAGUCCUUCCCAGUGUUCAUGCUGUCACCUCUCACCUGGUGAGAACUGUCACUCCUGUCUACGUUACGGUGUCUAUGUUUCUAGCUUCUGUUUUGACUUAUUACUGACCCCCAUCCUUCCAAUACCUGUAGACUGGAUCUUCUUCUGUUUUUUAGCUCUGUAUGUCUUGCCUUAGCUGUCCAAUCUGAGCAAUUAAAAGCCUGCGUAUGCUACUGUGUCUUUAGCACUGCUGAUCCUGCUUAACAUGCUGUACUGUUUCUGCUCCCUAUAUUUAUUUUGAAUUUAUGAGAAUAUUUAUCAAUAUCUCAGUCUACUCUUUUAAAAAAUCAUUUUUGUUUUUCUCUCAAGUAUAUCAGUUUAUUCAUGUCUUUAGGUGUUAUUAUUGCUUCUUAAAGGUAUCCUCUUUAAAGUUCUUUCAGCUUUCUUUGUUACUACUACUUUAAAAUGAGAUCUUAAAUUAUUUUGAUGUUUUUCUUUCUUGUAGCUAGACCUUCCAACCUCUUCCACAUCAUAGCAGCACACAGAGAAAAUAUUAUAGCAUGCUUGCUAUGUGGAUGAGUGUACUGACAGCUAGAGGUACCUAGCUCUGAAGCUCCCUACAACUUCAGGCCCUACUUGGCUGCAGUGAACCAGAGGUGCAAAACCACACCUGGAAACUCUUCAUGGAAUGCCCAUUAGGAAGCUCUGCUGGAUGUGCGUGUGGCUAUAAUGUGGAUGUGUGCAGCCUCGUAAGUGUUAUCACGAGCUGUAUUUCUAAGUUCCAGCUGGCUUUCUGAAUUAACUGGAAUAGAAAGUUCAUAAUGCCUCUUUCCCACUCAUUAACUUUCUCCCAUAGGAGACUUUGAUUCAGCCAAUUUAGGGAUCCAAUAAGAGAGCAGAAUAUAACUUGAAGGCAUUUAGCUUUUUAAUAGCAGCUGAGGCAAUAUUCUGUCACUAAAAAACUUUCAUGUGUUCUGAGUACAAAGAUUCUAAUAAACAAUACAUAGUUUUUGCUAUUUUCUGCACUAA
Molecule: long non-coding RNA, 1524 nt
Organism: Camelus dromedarius (Arabian camel)
Lineage: Eukaryota; Metazoa; Chordata; Mammalia; Artiodactyla; Camelidae
Exons: 4
Source: RefSeq, a predicted model, not a curated record